Bombina bombina (fire-bellied toad) is the source of this 818-nucleotide long non-coding RNA. RefSeq lists it as uncharacterized. The record is from RefSeq and is a predicted model, not a curated record. The transcript has 4 exons. Lineage: Eukaryota; Metazoa; Chordata; Amphibia; Anura; Bombinatoridae.
GACACGUUUUCUGUCUCUUGAAUGUCUGCAGCGAUGGAGAGUGUUGUGUAUGUGGAGAUGUCAGCCGCCAUCCUGUACUCGCGGCCUAGUUCGAGGCCAUGGCUCCUCCCAAACAAAUGACCUGGCUUGUUAAUUUAAACAUGUUUUGGCAUAACUGUUCCUAAUGAGACUACAGCUUGUUAUAGCUCUGGCGUAUGAGGAUUCACUGACAUGAUGGAUUUGUGCAUAUGCCUGGCUUCUGGGUGAAGUUUGACUGUAAAGCCGACAAGAGUUCUUUGAGAGUUCUGUUGACUUGUUUCCUGCAAGAAUGGCUAAUGUAGGGCUAAAGCUAUCAAACUAUACUGAUUAGCCACAACAUUAAAACCACUGUAAAAACAUUAACAUUAAAGCCACAACAUUAAAACCUGUAUGCAGUAGUUGGUAACUACCAAAAGUGAUGGAAGGAGAACCAGUGAACUGGCGUCAGGUCAUGGGCGACCCAAGGCUCAUUGGUGCACGUGGGAGCAAAGGCUAGCCGGCCCGAUUACACUGAUCUACUGUAGCUGAAUUUGCUGAAGAAAUUAAUGCUGGCCAUGAUUGAAAUGUCAGAGCAUUGCAGUUUGCUCAACUUCCACCCUGCAUUGAGACAAGGCGGCCUUUAAAGGAUAUUGGGACUUUGUACUUGUCCUUUGUACACUAGAUAGCUUUUGUUAUCCUGUUAUUAUCAGUUGUAAAUUCCUGUUACAGCCUAUACUUUGCUUUCACAUCAUGACCUGGGCAAACUGGUGCGAGUAGUCCACUUUAGGGAACAUGAACAUCAAUAAAAAUUUGAAUGUUAA